RNAcentral lists this ribosomal RNA (56 nucleotides) under Steinernema abbasi. RNAcentral describes it as "partial 28S ribosomal RNA". The record is from RNAcentral. Lineage: Eukaryota; Metazoa; Nematoda; Chromadorea; Rhabditida; Steinernematidae.
CCCUCCACAAGACCUCUCCCUCGGUGUCGCGCGCGACACACCUGAAAAUAAUAAGA